RNAcentral lists this ribosomal RNA (823 nucleotides) under uncultured bacterium. Its description in RNAcentral is "bacterial SSU rRNA". It matches the Rfam family "Bacterial small subunit ribosomal RNA", at positions 79 to 883 of the family's 1533-position model. The record is from RNAcentral.
GACGUUGGGAAAGCGAGCGGCGGAUGGGUGAGUAACACGCUGGGGAACCAGCCCCUAAGUCUGGGAUACCAUUUGGAAACAGGUGCUAAUACCGGAUAAUAAAGCAGAUCGCAUGAUCAGCUUUUGAAAGGCGGCGUAAGCUGUCGCUAAGGGAUGGCCCCGCGGUGCAUUAGCUAGUUGGUAAGGUAACGGCUUACCAAGGCGACGAUGCAUAGCCGAGUUGAGAGACUGAUCGGCCACAUUGGGACUGAGACACGGCCCAAACUCCUACGGGAGGCAGCAGUAGGGAAUCUUCCACAAUGGACGCAAGUCUGAUGGAGCAACGCCGCGUGAGUGAAGAAGGUUUUCGGAUCGUAAAGCUCUGUUGUUGGUGAAGAAGGAUAGAGGUAGUAACUGGCCUUUAUUUGACGGUAAUCAACCAGAAAGUCACGGCUAACUACGUGCCAGCAGCCGCGGUAAUACGUAGGUGGCAAGCGUUGUCCGGAUUUAUUGGGCGUAAAGCGAGCGCAGGCGGAAAAAUAAGUCUAAUGUGAAAGCCCUCGGCUUAACCGAGGAACUGCAUCGGAAACUGUUUUUCUUGAGUGCAGAAGAGGAGAGUGGAACUCCAUGUGUAGCGGUGGAAUGCGUAGAUAUAUGGAAGAACACCAGUGGCGAAGGCGGCUCUCUGGUCUGCAACUGACGCUGAGGCUCGAAAGCAUGGGUAGCGAACAGGAUUAGAUACCCUGGUAGUCCAUGCCGUAAACGAUGAGUGCUAAGUGUUGGGGAGGUUUCCGCCUCUCAGUGCUGCAGCUAACGCAUUUAAGCACUCCGCCCUGGGGAGUAC